Molecule: ribosomal RNA, 253 nt
Filed under: uncultured bacterium
Lineage: Bacteria
Description: partial 16S ribosomal RNA
Rfam family: Bacterial small subunit ribosomal RNA
Source: RNAcentral
UACGGAGGGUGCAAGCGUUAUCCGGAUUCACUGGGUUUAAAGGGAGCGUAGGUGGGCUGGUAAGUCAGUGGUGAAAUCUCCGAGCUUAACUUGGAAACUGCCAUUGAUACUAUUAGUCUUGAAUAUUGUGGAGGUCAGCGGAAUAUGUCAUGUAGCGGUGAAAUGCUUAGAGAUGACAUAGAACACCAAUUGCGAAGGCAGCUGGCUACGCAUAUAUUGACACUGAGGCUCGAAAGCGUGGGGAGCAAACAGG